This 492-nucleotide ribosomal RNA is filed under the name uncultured bacterium. RNAcentral's name for it is "partial 16S ribosomal RNA". It matches the Rfam family "Bacterial small subunit ribosomal RNA", at positions 28 to 507 of the family's 1533-position model. The record is from RNAcentral.
GAUGAACGCUGGCGGCGUGCCUAAUACAUGCAAGUCGAGCGAACAGACGAGGAGCUUGUUCUUCUGACGUUAGCGGCGGACGGGUGAGUAACACAUGGAUAACCUACCUAUAUGUCUGGGAUAACUUCGGGAACCCGGAGCUAAUACCGGCUAAUUUAUUGCACCGCAUGGUUCACUAGUGAAAGACAGUUUUGCUGUCACUUAUAGAUGGAUACGCGCCGGAUUAGCUUGUUGGUAAGGUAACGGCCUACCAAGGCAACGAUGCGUAGCCGUCAUGAGAGGCGGGCCCCCCAGAACGGAACUGAGGCACAGUCCACAAACGGACGGAAGGCAAGGGUAAGGUACAGUAGUGGAUGAAGGCUGACGGAGCAACGCCGCGUGAGGUAUGAAGGUACGGGGAUAGUAAAACUCUGCUAUUAGGGAAGAACAAAUGUGUAAGUAACUAGGCACGUCUUGACGGUACCGAAUCAGAAAGCAACGGCUAACUACGUG